This is a long non-coding RNA of Loxodonta africana (African savanna elephant), 11811 nucleotides long. RefSeq lists it as uncharacterized. The record is from RefSeq and is a predicted model, not a curated record. Lineage: Eukaryota; Metazoa; Chordata; Mammalia; Proboscidea; Elephantidae. The transcript is spliced from 3 exons.
UCCCCUGAGAAGGGCCUGUUCUCCCUAGUUCACCGCAGUACCCACUCAGCCCACCUCACUCAUCAUAGCGUCUCCUGGCCCCAAGGUAUCUGAGUUUUUGACCUCCCAUCCUAAAGUUUGCCAAAGAGGGUGCUGGAAAUCUAGCCCAGAGAGCUUAAACAACUCACCCAAGGUCACAGAGCAAACCAGUCAGUCCAGAACAAGGCCAUGGCCCAGGACUCAGGACACCCAGUCUUGCUUGGGACACUAAGCACAUGCCCUCAGAAGCUCCACAGACCUCACCUCACUCCCCCAGGAGCCGCUGACCCGGCCCUGAGCCCCGGGGACCAGGAGGCCGGGUUGUGGGUGCCGGGCAGUGGGCCGGGGAAGGCCCUGUCCUGUUUAGGUUUUUGUGGUCUCGUGAGUAACCAAAUGGAAAAAAACAAGCUUGAAAAGAUAACAAUUACAACGAAAUUAAAUCAAAUCAGGCCCGUGACUCAUUUAUGGAGCCGUAAAAACGGAAAACAAAAACAAGCUGGUUCUGGAGAGGAGAGGCCAGAAUGAGGAGACAAAAAGUCAGAGAAGGGAAAAAAUAAAGCAGCAGCGACAACCGCCUGGGACCAAAUUAUCCCCAACAAGGAGGCAACGGUGCCAGUCCCUGGAGUGGCAAGAGCACAGGGGAUUCAGGAGUUGGGGAGACCAGGGGCCAUGGGGGAGGCACUAAAGACCCUAGAAGCUGGGGGGAUGGCUGGUCUGGUCUCACAACUACCCCAGUCAGGUGGGUAGAUUGGCAUGCCAUACUACAGACCUGGAGACUGAGGCUCAGAGGGACCAAGUGACAAGCCUCAGGUCACACAACCAGGAAGUGGGAGGAUGAGAUUCGAACCUGGCCACAAAGCCUGUAUCGGGGCUCAGGUUUGCCAUCCAGAAAACAGGAACCUGAGCCCCAAUUCCAGCUCUGGCAAAGGAGCUGGAGUCCUGGAAGCUGCCCUGGGCAUUUCAGGAGCCCCAAAACCUGGGCAUCAGACAUGGCAGCCCCUUUCUAGAUCUCUCUGUCCCCAUGAGUGCCAUGGUGGGGUCACGUCAGGCAACAUCUAAGGAAGGUCCCAGGCAAUGUCUAAGGAAGGUCUGACCCAAGGAAGCUUCAAAGUUUGGCUCUGCCCAUUUCCCAGAAGCCUCUGCCCCCAAGAGAUGUAAGAGGAGCCGGAGGCAGAGCCUGAGGGAGCCCGCCCUGUCCGCUGAGAUUCCCUGAGAGGUCGCCCUGACCUGGGGAGGACGCUGUGUGGGCAGCAGAUGGCUGGGCUGGAGCGCUGGGAGAGGCAGAGAAGGCAGGGCGCUGGGCUGGUGAGGGUUGGAUCUGAGGGGGCUGGGGUGAAGGGACUGCCAAAAAUAACACCAUUGCAGCAUGUUGGGUACUGAGCAGGGCAUGGUGCUGGGUACUUUUCAUUCAUUUAUUCAUUCAUUCUACAAGUCUAUAUUUAGCACCUUCUUGUCCCAAGUGCUGUAUUGGGGGUUGUGAGCUGCCAUCCUGGAAAAAGAGGAGAGCACAAAACCUGAUGCUUCAGGUAGAGCCAUGGAGACACAGUAAGCAAAGAGAGGGGUGGCAGGGGUCAGGGAAGACCUCACUGAGCUCUGAUGUUUGGGUAGAGACCUGAAGAAGGUGCUAGAGCAAGCAUCUUCAGGAAAGGUGUUGUCGGCAGAGGGGACAGCAAGUGCAAAGGCCCUGAAGUGGGAGCGUGCCUGGUAUGUUCGAGGAACAGCAAGGGGGCCAGUGUGGCUAAGUCAGAGUGAAUUGUUCCAACUACCUGCCUGUGGGUACUGUUGUUAUCUUCUCUUACAAAAGAGGAAAUUGAGGCUCAGAGAGGGGAAGUGACUUGCUCAGAGUCACACAGCAGGAAAUGGCCGUGCAGGGAGCAAAGCACACGUCCACGCUGACUGUGGCCCUGUGUGUGAGACGGGGCUGCAUGGGCCAGAGGUGACUCCACAGAAGGCCUCUGUCACCCUCUUUGGUCACAGCCAAGGGUAUUGUGAUUGUGCAAUGCAGAGCCCUACAGGGAGCCCAGGCCAGGGCAGAGGCUGACACAGCCCUGGCCCCACCCGAGCCUCCUCCACCUUGCUCUCUCCCCAGCCUCCCAGACUCUCUGGGGUCUGGGUGUCGUAAGGUAGCUAAGAAUCCAGAAAGCUCAUUCAAGCCAAGGUGUGAGUGGCUGCUAGCAGCCCCCAGCUUAUCUCUACCCUUGGGUUGGCCUUUUAACCAGGUCACAGAAGCAGUUUUGCAGCCUCAGUUUCCCCAUAUGUUAAAUAAUGGGUCUUAGGUGAUCUCUAACAGGUAGUUGGGGGGUCUUUGAUCCAGAAAGAGGCAUGGUUUCCUGAGGUCACACAGCCGGUGAGUGACAGAGCUGGGGUGACCCGGCCCUGCUGACUCCUGGCCCAGGGCUCAUUUUCCUCCUCCUGAGGGACAAGGCUUUAUCCCGGAGCUCAGCGGACUGGGCCUCUCACCAUGCCCUGCUGUCUCCACAAUCGCCGCCCUCCACCACCUCCACCGCCACUGCCCUGAACCCUCCCUCUAGCCUCAGGGUGUUUCUCACUGUUCUACCUCCAGGCCUUCCCACAUGCCAUUCCCUCUGCUGGGGAUAUUCUUCCCCUUUGCCAUCUCCAAGGAAUCCUAUGGCGCAGAGGUUAAGCGCUUGGCUGCUAACCGAAAGGCCAGUGGUUCGAACCCGCCAGGCGCUGUACAGGAGAAAGAUGUGGCAGUCUGCUUCUGCAAAGAUUACAGCCUUGGAAACCCCAUGGGGCAGUUCUACUCCAUCCUACAGAGUUGCUAUGAGUCGGAAUCAACUCAGCAGCAACGGGUUUGGUGCCAUCUCCAGUGCCCUGGGUGGCGCAAAUGGUUUGCCCUUGACUACUAACCUAAAGGUUGAAGGUUCAAACCCACCUAGCCGCUCCAAGGAAGAAAGGCCUAGAAUCUGCUUCCAUAGGUGUUACAGCCAAGAAAACCCUAUGGAGCAGUUCUCUGUAACACAUAGGGUCGCCAUGAAUCGAAAUCGACUCGAUGCCAACGGGUUUGGGUUUUUUUUGUGCCAUUUCCUCCACCCCAUGAAGGAAAAAUAAAGCAGGAUCAGGGUUAGAGAGAGGGACCAUAUAGAGGAAGUAGAUGCUACUUAAGGAGCCCUAGUGGCGCAAUGGUUAAGCACUUGGCCGCUAACCAAAAUGUUGGCGGUUUGAGCCUGGCUCUGUGGGAGAAAGACCUGGUGAUCUGCUCCUGUAAAGACUACAAUCUAAACCCUAUGGGGCAGUUCUAGCUUGUCACAUGAAGUUGCUUUGAGUGAGAAUCUACUGGACAGCACAAAACAGGGACUAUUUAAACUGGGUGGAUGGAGAAGAUCACUCAGAAAGUGACAUCUGAGCUGAAGGAGGUGAGAGAGGGAGUCAUGUGAAUAUUUAGUAAACGGGUUCAGGCAGCGGCAAUAGCACGUGCAAAGGUCCUGAGGUGGAAAGAUCCCAGGCUUAUGAGAGAAACAAGGAGGACAGCAGGACUGGAAGGGAGCAACAGAGGGAGCGGUGGGAGGAGACAAGAUCGUGGGGGAGUGAGGGGUUUGCUGGGGGUGGGGAAUCACACAGGGCCUUGUGGGCCAAGGAGAGGACUUUGGCUUUUACCCUGCGUGAAGUGGGAGUCCUGAAGGGCUCUGAGCAGGGGAGGGCAGGGCCUGACCUCGGUUCUAACUGGAUCCCCCCUGGCUGGCUGUGUGUGGACAACAGACAGUGGGGAUCGAGGAAGGGAGCAGGGGACCAGCGAGGGGGUGACUGCUGCAGUCCCAGCAGGUGAUGCUAGUGGCCCGGACCAUGGUGGGGGCAGUGGGGAUGGAGCAUGUGAUUAGAUUCUGGGUGCAUUUCAAAGGUGGAGCUGACAGGGUUUGGGGAGAGACAGAUGUGGAGUGAGUGAGCAUGAGAAGCUAAGAAUAACCCCUGGGUUUUUCGCCAGAGCACCUGGGGGAGGGAGCAGAUAGGGACGUUUAGGAGGUUAAUUGAGGCUAUGCUGAGUCUGACGCUCCUAUUAGUCGCUCAGAUUAAGGUGACUAGGAAGAAAGGCCUGGCGAUCUACGUUCAAAAAUCAGUCCAUAAGGACCCUAUGAUCACAACAGCCAGAUCCACAACUGAUCAUGAAGGUGGCACAGGACAGGCAGCAUUAAGUUCCGUCAUGCAUGGGGUCACUAUGAGUCGGGCCGACUUGACGGCAACAACAAUUAAUUGCUGCAGUGGCAGUGGGGAGAGGUGGGUGGAGAGCUGUGUCUACAGUCAAGGGAGAGGUCGGGGCUGGAGAGAUACAUUCAGAAGCCCCCAGUGUUUAGAUAAGAAUAAGGAAUGUGUUUUGGACAUGUUCUUUCCCUUCUCCCCAAAGCUGGGAUUUCAACCCAGGUCUUCUGAGACCAGGCCUGGGACUCUCUAAACUGCCCGGGGUUCCCGAGGUUGUCCCUGGAGUGUGGAGACUGGGACUGGGACACCCAGGCUACAGGGUCUGGCCCCACGUCAUCAGUUGAACCCUGAAUGUCCGUUCUCCCCUAUCCCCAGCCCCAGGCCCCAAGCCAGGGAUCCGCUAGGUGCACCCUCUCUUGGUCAGUGGGCAAUAUACACAGAGAAGGGAGAGAGACACAGAAACAGAGGCAGACUGAGAUAGAGCAAUACAGGGAGACAGAAAGAUCCACGCAGAGAUCCAAGCAGAGACACAGAGAAUCAGGAAGACGGAGAGAACUUGAGAGGGGCUGGUUCAUCUCUCAACCCUCCCUCAAUCCCUGGGGGCCCUGGGACCUCCUUACCAACCCCACCAUCAUCACUGACACCCCCUGAGGAAAGAAUCAUCCAUCUCCCCACAGUCCUCUUUGGGCCUGUCUCCCCACCUGCGAAGAAGGAGGAUGAUAACCCAGCAGCUUCAUUGGCUGCUGGAGACAUCUGAUGAGAUAAGGUGCCUGGCACCAAGAAUCACUACAGAACCCUUCAUGCUACCCUCCCUGGGCCAGGGGAUGCACCCAAGGGGGUGUCAGGCCCAUCCCAGGGCUCCCCAGUAGCCUUGCAACCUCAAACAAGCCCCACUGCUGAAUGGGAAAACCGAGGCCCAGCUAAAGCCAGGAACCCAAUCCAGAUGCCAAAACAAGGGGGGUGAGACAUACUUUCUGGGCUCCAGGACAGUCUCCCCACUGAGGGGUCACACUUUCUUAAUUCUUUUAAUGAGCAUUUACUGAGCACCUACUGCCCUCCAGGCACACUGUACUGGGCACUAGGGAUGCAGCGGUGAGCAAGGGAGACAAAAUGUACUGCCCUGGCCGAGCUGACCUUCUAGGGGAGGAGACGGACAAGCAUCCAACAGACGAAUUAGUAUAAGAUACAUCAGGUGGUGAGAAACGGCGCAGAGAAAUAAAUCAGGGCAAGCAGGGAAGAGGUGCCUGCUGGGAAGAGGGGGGUCUUCAAAUUAUUGUCAUCGUUUCUCCACAGGCCAGGCAGUUUUUAUAUUUGGAACCAGCUGGUGAUGGGGAAGCAGGAGACUCGUUACCAAGUGCUUCCUGAGUCCCCAGCUCUGUGCCUGGCACGUUCAUCAGUUUUAUCACAUUGAAUCUCGUCAGCAUUUCCAAGAAAUAGAGUUGUGAACUCGGCCACUCGACAAAUGUUGGUUGAGCACCUACUGCCGGGCACUGUGCUGGACACUGGAAACAUAGCAGGGAACAAGACAGAGAAAAAGCCCUGCCCUGGUAGAUAAACAAGUCAACUAACAGUGCCUCAGAUGGUGGUGUCCCACACACAAGACCACAGCCAUGGAGGAAAAUAAAGCGAGGAAUCGGGGGAUCCCUUAGAGGAUUCCUCUGUCUGUGUGUGGAGGGAGAUUUCUGGAGGACCAGGGUGGAGGCAGGCAGACCAGGGAAGAGGCUUCUGGAAGAGUCUGGAGGAGCAACGAUGGCGGCAAUGGCAGCAGGGAAGGUUGGAUUCAGAGUCUGUUUGGAAGAGCUGCUGACAGCACUGGCAGCACUGGUGACCUGGACCAGUAGAGAGGGGUGAAUGGUUGGGGGUUAAGGAGAGCCCCCCUCCUGCCCUCCCUGCCUCAGGGGGCCAAGCAGGAAGUUGGUGGCCAGGCGGCCCAGCGUGGAAGGCUGACUGGUUUGUUCGGCCUGAAGCCUAUGGGCCCCCCCACCCCACCCCCAGUCUGUGUGGGCCUGUGGCAGCCCCAGGGCUGGGAAACAUGCCUGGAAUGUCAGCCACCAGGCCCAGCCAGACAGUGCCCGUGGGACCCGCUGUGGGCUAGGCGAGAGCUCUGGCCACAGCCCUGCCCUCACAUGGAAUCUCUCAGGGCCCAUUGACCAGGGUAAGUGGUCAUUACAGGCCUGGAGCAGAGGGGGAAGGGGCUACAAGCCCAGAGCCUCCCUAUACCCAAAUCCCCUCCUAUUUACUGAGUGCCUACUGUGUGCUGGGCUCUCACACACCGUCUCAUCCCAUCCGCACCUCAACCCACUGCCCCUAGGACCAACAUGAGGCCCACUUUGCAGGUAAGGAAACUGAUUUGCCUGUAUAUAGUCUCACAGCUAGGACGUGCGAAGACCAAGAUUCGAACCCAGGACCCCAAACUUGGUGUGCCUUCUCUGUUGCUGUUUUAGUUCCCAGAGAUCAGGGUGAGUCGGGGAAGGAACACGGCACUGUGAGUCCCAAGACACCCCUGGAGCCAUCUCUGGGCCUCAGUCCCCUCUUGCGUCAAAGAACUACUCUUUCAUUCAUUCACUCAUUCACAAGCACUUACUGGGCACCUGCCCUGCGUAGGCACUGUGCUGGGUGCUGGGUGUACAGCAAUGAACAAAACAGACAAAAAAACCCUACCUGGUAAUGGUGACAUUCCAAUGGCAGAAACAGAACAAACAAGCAGGGUGAUUUCUAGUAUAAGCAAGAAGUCCUAGGAAGAAAAUAAAAGAGCAAAAGGUGAUAGGAACAAGGGGUGGUCAGGGAGGGAGGGCGUCUCUGAGGGCUGACUUCAGAAAUAAGGCCUGGCUGCAGAGUAGGAGCUGCCGCAGGGAGAGCUGGGAGAAGCGUGUUCCAGAGGAAAGAGCAAGUGCAAAGGCCCUGGGGCAGCAGCAAAAUCGGUGUUUUCAGGCACAGCAAAGAGGCCAAUGUGGCUACAGCUGAGCAGAGAGGGAAAGGGCAGGGGAGGUGGGGUCAAAGGUCAUAGGGAAGAAGAUCCUUCAGGUCUGUGAGCCACUGUAAGGACUUUGGCUUCAGCCCCACGGGAGAUAGGAGCCAUGGAGGAUUCUGAGCAGAGGAGCGACAGCACCUGACUUUGGUUCUAACAGGAUCCCUCUGGUUUAAGGGGGCAAGAGUGAAGGCAAGUUUAUCAAUGAGGAGGUGACGGCAACUGUCCCAGUAGGAUGUGAUAAGCCUGGACCAGGGUGAGGCAGUGGAGGUGGAAGACUUGGAAUAAUUCGGGACAAUGGAUGAGCUCCGCGGUGGUCGGGUCGUGAAGGGAAGAGAGCUCCACCAUAGUUUUGGAGCAGCCGGGUGGCUGGGGGAGACCCCAGGUUUGUGGUGGUGUCAGGGAGGUCCCACCCAGAGUAAAAGACAGACGCAUAGCCCCCAGACCCUUGCCUCAAGCACAGAAUCAGCAAUGGGAUCCCAUAGGCAGGUGAUCCCAGAAGCCGUGACCUGCACGGGCUGUCUACCUGGCCAGAGCUCUGCAGAUCCAUGUAGCUGCUAUGGCCUACCCAGCCUCACCCACCCACUGAGCAUCAUUGUCUCUUCUUGGUCCUGCCCCGAGCAGCUCACCCAGCUCCCUCAGUUGGUCCCAAUACUUGACUGGGAUCCCAGGGGAUGGGGGAUAGAAUGAAGUUGUACAUCCAUCCCACCCAUUUGCAUCUCCCAUCAGUCAAACAGGGGCCAGGACGCCUCUUUGCCAGUUCUUCCUCCACACCUCUGUCCACCAUUUCCUUCCACCCUACACCCUGCCCACCUCAUCACCUAGUUCCCACACAUCCCCUUCCGGGAAGCCUUCAGAGAUGGCACCCAGCGUCACCCAUGGGCUCUGCAACCAGGAACUUUACUCUGGUCCCCGCCACCUCACACUUCCUCCACCACAUCCAGUUGUAAGUUUCCAUUUCACAGAUGGAGGAACUGAGGUUCCAAGAGAUAGAGCUGGUUCCCAAGGUCACACACGAGGUCAGUGGCAGUGCCAGGAUUCACCCAAGUCUGUCUGAUUCCAAAGCUCUUAGCAUCCAAGCAUUACACCUGCUGACUCAGGUGGGGUCCCCAGAAGCCAACCUGAGACAAGGCCGUGGGUGCAAGCAGUUUGGGAGAUGAUCCCAGAAACACCAGUAGGGAGUGAGGAAGACAAGGAGAGGGAAAGGACAGUACCAGGUGUGUUAGUGAGCAGGUCACUUCUGCAGGCACCAGGGCUCAGACCCUCUGGAAAACACUGGUAGAAUGUGUAGAACAGCCCUCAGCGUUGUCCCACUUGAGGGGUGAGGACCCACCCUUCACUGGCAAGGGUCAUUCACUCCCGUUCCUUUGCAUGCAAGCCAAGGCAGACAGAUGCAAGAUGGUGGCCCCUCUGUCGUCUCACCAAAGGGCACUGAUCCUGCUACCACGGCUGCAGUCCCAGAGGUGUCUUCCAGUCCUCCUUCUCCCCCACAUUGCCUACCUUCUUACUGCCCCAGGCCUCCCGUCCCUGAAACAUGAGCCUGAGAACGCCAGGGCUAGUACGGAUGGGAACAUCGCGGCUAGGGUGACUGUCCACAUGCCUGGGCUGCCAAAUUCAAAUUCAAAUGCAAAGAGUGGCUGAAUGCACUGCACCCCCCUUUAACCUCCUGACUCCCAGAACAGUGCUCACUCGGGGAUGCAGACAACGCAGCAGGAGGUAGCUGAGCCUUGUGACUCUCUGCAAGUCACUCAGCCUCUUGGAGCCUUCAUUUCCUCAUGUGGAGAAGGGAACCAUAAAAAAAACACCUCAGCCAUCUAAGAUGCAUCAGUUGGUCUCAACCCACCUGGACCAAAGAAUGAAGAACACCAAAGACACAAAGUAAUUAUGAGCCCAAGAGACAGAAAGGGCCACAUAAACCAGAGACUACAUCAGCCUGAGACCAGAAGAGCUAGAUGGUGCCCGGCUACAACCGAUGACUGUCCUGACAGGGAACACAACAGAGAGCCCCUGAGGGAGCAGGAAAGCAGUGGGAUGCAGACCCCAAAUUCUCGUAAAAAGACCAGACUUAAUGGUCUGACUUAGACUAGAAGGACCCCAGUGGUCAUGGCCCCUAGACCUUCUGUUGGCCCAGGACAGGAACCAUUCCUGAAGCCAACUCUUCAGACAAGGAGUGGACUGGGCAAUGGUUUGGAGAGGGAUGCUGGUGAGGAGUGAGCUUCUCGGAUCAGGUGGACGCUUGAGACUAUAUUGGCAUCUCCUCCCUGGAGGGGAGAUGAGAGGGUAAAGGGGGUUAGAAGCUGGCAAAAUGGACACGAAAAGAGAGAGUGGAGGGAGGGAGCGGGCUGUCUCAUUAGGGGGAGAACAAUUGGGAGUAUGUAGCAAGGUGAUUAUAAGUUUUUGUGUGAGAGACUGACUUGAUUUGCAAACUUUCACUUAAAGCACAAUAAAAAUAAAAUAAAAAAAAAACCUCGAAAAGUUUUUUGUGGGCAUUAAAAUAUAAAAAAAAAGGUGACACAAAAUAUACAUGGCUUAGAACAGCACAUAGCACAUAGUACAUACUUGAUAAAUAUCUGUGCUUAAAUGAGAUAGGAAGGUCGUAGCUACUCAAUAAACAUAGCCAGGAAUAUUGUAGUUACUGUUGUUUAGGAGCCCCUCGGUGUCUCCCAAGCCUGGACCUACUCGACAGAGACAAGAUGGUGGCUGAGUGGCCUCCUCAGUUUCCUGGACUCCACAGCUUCUUGCUCAAGGCUGCCUGAAUUUUGGGGAAACAGAGGAGGAGGAGGAAGGGGCGGGGGCCUGGUCAGGCCUGCUAGCGGUAACUGUGGGCAGCCACCCCGCCUGAGGGGCCUCCAUUCGCCCAUCCACCCAUCCGCUGAGGCCGCUGCCCAGUCCACACAGGGGACGCCUCGUCUUGCACAAGACAGGAAGGGGGAGGCUAGGGUUGCGGCGGGUGACUCCAGGACCCCGUGUCCACCCGGCUGCAGACAGGAUGGGCAAGGGAGGCCCAGGCCAGGCUUCCUGUGUACUGAGCACACUGGGCAGAAAGGAGAAGUGGGGUCCAGGCUGAGAGGGAGGCCCAGGCAGCACUUUCCUCUCCCUGGCCCAACUGUUCCGCCUUCCCUCUCUGACUCACGGUCCCUGGGUUCCAAUCCCAACUCUGCCACCUACCAGCUGCUUGACUUUGGACAACAGGUUCUCUGGGCCUUUGUUUCCCGUUGCCGCUGGGGAGCAGAGAAAUCUCCCCUUGAGCCUGCCUGCCCCUCUGUGGGGGCACUGUCAUUAUCAUCUGCAGUUAAGGAAACCAAGGGAAGCCAUUAGGUAUUUUCAAACAGCAUCUACUAUGCUUAAAGAUUUAGGGCACAACAGGCCAGGGCAAGCCUGACAUCCCAGUGGGUUCUGGAGACACAAAGGCCAAUAUAACCCAUACCCUCCGUCCUGGACCCACGGCAGGUAUUAUUAAUCAAUCACGCCCAGAUACUGCCUCAGAACCCUGCUUAACACAGCUCUCCAGCCACUGCCAAUCCGAGCUCCUGAGGCCUGAGGAAGCAAGGACAAUGCGUCUGUCCUCUCCAUUUCAGCGACAGGCUCGAUCAGAGAGAAAACUUGCCCUGAAAAAGGCCACCCUCUGGCAAGCUACCUCCGGGUGCCUCUCUGUAAUCAGGGCCUCCCCAGAAGCCUAUCUGUCCCACCAGCCUGAACCUCUCAGGACCCUUCCCUUGGAGGCAUUUGCCCUGGGGGUUUGCAAACUGGCUCACUGAAAGGCCAGAGGUCUGUGUAGUGGGGGGCUGGAGAAGCAGCAGAGAUGGGGGAAUCACAGACUGAGGAGGGAGCCCUGGCAAAGCCUGGGGUAACCGGAGGCUGGACCUGCCCCCAGAGAGGAGGGGUUCCAGGGUGGAGCACGGCGGGCGGAGGGCAGUGGGGAGGAGGAAAAGCCAGCUCCCUAGGCUGCUGGGGCCCCACCAGCUAUGCCAGGGAAAGUCCAGUGACCCAGAGCCCCAUGGUGGAUUGUGUAAAAGGAAAACCAAAACUGAGUGCAGAGCCCUGGGCCUCCCACCAGCCCUGGUGCAUCUGUCCCUGUAUUCACAACCACCCCCCAAGUCACUGACCUACGCCACCAUCUUCCUUCAGCUGGACACCUGCAGUGGUCUCCAGCCUGCUCCCCAGCCUUCCCCUUCUCCCCUACACACCCUUCUCCACAUGACAAAGGAAAGCUCAGAAACGUAGCCCCGGCCAAGUCACUCCCCUGCUCCAAACCCCAAGACUGCCCAUCACAUUGGGGAGAAAAUCUGGACAUGUGGCCCCAGCCCUGGCCUCCAACCCCUGGAUGUCCGCCCCUGCCCCGUCUCUACCAUUGCCUCUUCUUUCUCCCCAAUCACUCUUGUCUCUGGGAGCACCAGCUUCUACCUAUUCCUUAGGCAGUAACCUCACCCCCACCUCCAGGCCUUUGCCUCUAACGCUCUUCCCCCAUAUUUUCCCUUGGUGGCUCCAUCUCAUCAGUCAGGUCUCAAUUCAAUGCCGCCUCACCCCCGACCCCAGCACCCCUAGCUACUGCAGACUCCUCUCUGCCACCUCCACCUGUCCCUCUGGUUCUUUGUAGCUCUUCUCAGGGUUUGCAAGUAUCUACUUACUUGUGUGCUUGCGUGUCUGUCCCAUCGCCAAAAUGUCAGCUC